GCUGCUUCUUUCCUCGCAGAUAGAUGAGCUCUCCCUCUCGCUGCCCAUUGCUGCCUCCGCUCUGAGCACGGCACGGAUGCGGAGACCGGUGGGAAGGGAGGUGGCACUGGGAAGAAGAGCAGGAUCUGGAGGUGCCUUGAUGGAGGAGCCUGAUGUCCAGAGAACGUUCCCCACUUUCUGUGUCAGAAGUGGCUCCAAAUGAUCAAUCACGGUGCAGAAACCACAUGAGCAGCGCAAAUCUUGGCAAACGAAGUGUGUCAAAUCAUCUGGGGACUAAUUACCUGGUUGCUGCAUCUGGAAAUAAAUGACCAAUGCGUGGGUUUAGGAAAGAUCCCACAGAUGAUGCAGCCUGGUAUGGUAGAUCACCCACCCACCUGCUCUGAAGCCAACAACAGGUAGCUCAACCCUGCAAAGUCAGAGGGAUGAGGAUGGUCACCCCUGCUGGCUGCCACAGAAGAUCCUCAUGAUGUCCUAAUGAGUUUCUUAAUAUUAUAGACUUCUAUCACCCCCGGUGUUUUUAACUGCACUAUUUUUGAUGCACGUUGCAUUUAGAAAUACGCUGGGAUCUUUUAUUAUAUGUUAGCCAUGCAAUAGCUGUUAAAUUGUAUUAGUUAUUGACCUUAGCAGCAAUAAACUGUAGCAAGAGUAGUCCAUGGUAAACACUGCUAAAUCAUAAUCAGCUGGCAUAGUGAUGGUAUUUCGGACAAUUUGUACCAUGCUCUGUAAAGUGCACUUGAUCACAGUA
Molecule: long non-coding RNA, 745 nt
Organism: Cyanistes caeruleus (blue tit)
Lineage: Eukaryota; Metazoa; Chordata; Aves; Passeriformes; Paridae
Source: RefSeq, a predicted model, not a curated record